RNAcentral lists this ribosomal RNA (1197 nucleotides) under Escherichia coli. RNAcentral describes it as "partial 23S ribosomal RNA". It matches the Rfam family "Bacterial large subunit ribosomal RNA", at positions 612 to 1795 of the family's 2925-position model. Lineage: Bacteria; Pseudomonadati; Pseudomonadota; Gammaproteobacteria; Enterobacterales; Enterobacteriaceae. The record is from RNAcentral.
AUAAUGGGUCAGCGACUUAUAUUCUGUAGCAAGGUUAACCGAAUAGGGGAGCCGAAGGGAAACCGAGUCUUAACUGGGCGUUAAGUUGCAGGGUAUAGACCCGAAACCCGGUGAUCUAGCCAUGGGCAGGUUGAAGGUUGGGUAACACUAACUGGAGGACCGAACCGACUAAUGUUGAAAAAUUAGCGGAUGACUUGUGGCUGGGGGUGAAAGGCCAAUCAAACCGGGAGAUAGCUGGUUCUCCCCGAAAGCUAUUUAGGUAGCGCCUCGUGAAUUCAUCUCCGGGGGUAGAGCACUGUUUCGGCAAGGGGGUCAUCCCGACUUACCAACCCGAUGCAAACUGCGAAUACCGGAGAAUGUUAUCACGGGAGACACACGGCGGGUGCUAACGUCCGUCGUGAAGAGGGAAACAACCCAGACCGCCAGCUAAGGUCCCAAAGUCAUGGUUAAGUGGGAAACGAUGUGGGAAGGCCCAGACAGCCAGGAUGUUGGCUUAGAAGCAGCCAUCAUUUAAAGAAAGCGUAAUAGCUCACUGGUCGAGUCGGCCUGCGCGGAAGAUGUAACGGGGCUAAACCAUGCACCGAAGCUGCGGCAGCGACACUAUGUGUUGUUGGGUAGGGGAGCGUUCUGUAAGCCUGUGAAGGUGUGCUGUGAGGCAUGCUGGAGGUAUCAGAAGUGCGAAUGCUGACAUAAGUAACGAUAAAGCGGGUGAAAAGCCCGCUCGCCGGAAGACCAAGGGUUCCUGUCCAACGUUAAUCGGGGCAGGGUGAGUCGACCCCUAAGGCGAGGCCGAAAGGCGUAGUCGAUGGGAAACAGGUUAAUAUUCCUGUACUUGGUGUUACUGCGAAGGGGGGACGGAGAAGGCUAUGUUGGCCGGGCGACGGUUGUCCCGGUUUAAGCGUGUAGGCUGGUUUUCCAGGCAAAUCCGGAAAAUCAAGGCUGAGGCGUGAUGACGAGGCACUACGGUGCUGAAGCAACAAAUGCCCUGCUUCCAGGAAAAGCCUCUAAGCAUCAGGUAACAUCAAAUCGUACCCCAAACCGACACAGGUGGUCAGGUAGAGAAUACCAAGGCGCUUGAGAGAACUCGGGUGAAGGAACUAGGCAAAAUGGUGCCGUAACUUCGGGAGAAGGCACGCUGAUAUGUAGGUGAAGCGACUUGCUCGUGGAGCUGAAAUCAGUCGAAGAUACCAGCUGGCU